Molecule: long non-coding RNA, 1679 nt
Organism: Triticum dicoccoides
Lineage: Eukaryota; Viridiplantae; Streptophyta; Magnoliopsida; Poales; Poaceae
Exons: 8
Source: RefSeq, a predicted model, not a curated record
GAAAUUAUUGACAAAGACACAACAACUGGGAAACAUGCAGAGAUUGUGGUAUAUGGACACCUGCUGCCAAGGAAGCCGGGGACAGUAUGCUACAACCGUAACCACAUGGCCACAGCAGCUCAAAAUACAAUAGAUGGAUGCGGUGUUGGGUGCAACACAGACGGAAUGGCGGGUGAUAGAGUGCUCACAGAAUUUCAAGGGAUUAUUAUAAACAAGGUCGAGCAGUAUUCUAACAAGUGCCAGGCAGUCGUACAUCUGGUAUCAAGGAAGGGUGAAAGAUUAAACAAGAGACACGCAACAGAAUGGGAGGAGAUUGUCAAUGAUACAAAAGGGCUAUUAGUUGCAGAGAGUGCAAAGAUAGUUGCAGACAUCAACCAAAUAACUGAAGCAAUGAAGGGAAGAAAGAAGAGAGCCAAGUAUUCAAAAAAAAUAGAUGGCAUUCAAGGAGAUGCAGAGACUCCACUGAGCAUAAAGUCGGCAGAGGGAAAUUCCGCAAAUGUUCAUCCACUGGGGAAAAGGCAAGGAGGGUUGAAAAGAAGGAAGGUUGUGGCAUCAUAGAGACACACACCUAAAAGGAAAAGGAUAGAGAGCUCUGAAGAAUCUGAAGGUGCACAUGAAGAAGCACAUAAAGCAAUUGAUGACUUGCUUGAAGCAGCAGAUGAAUAUAGUAGGGGCAGACUGGGGUGGUUGGCGAUGAGACUGGACAGUUAGAGGACAAAACCAGAAACAGCUUGACAAUGUCAGAGUUAUGUGGGGCUACAAGAAAUGAAGUUAUAUGUUCUCCACAACAUGCAAAUGGACAUGAUGAUGGUGAAGAAAAACAAAAGGAGGGUAUGGAAGUUAAUCAAUUGUCAAUAGUUCCUUCCGAAGAACAAGAGAACCUAGAUGGUGGUGCAUCAAUUCAUGAUAUAGAGAUGCGAGAAGGUUCAAAGUUGUAAUGACAAGGCUUAGGAAGACAGACUUGAUGAAUGCAUUCACAACAGUUUUGUCAUCAAAAGAAUUGACGGUUGCGUCAGCAAACAACACGCCAGGUUCAGCAGCAACAAAUGUGCAAGCUAUCAGAGAUUCGGGCAUGCAGAUUGUCAGCACUCCAGCACCAAACCAAUUGUCUGCAAGUAAAUCUAACAGGACUUCUACGGUUAGCCUCCACCGCUAGAUGUGUGCUAUCGAUCUUGACAUUAGGGAGGAGAUUGAGGAGGGAGCAAUCAACUUGAGCAUCGCCAUGUCGCAAGGAUCAUUUAGCACACAACCACAGCCAAGGAGGGUAGUGAAGCCUGGGAAAUACGCAAGGUCUCUGUUUGUAAUGGUUAUGACCCUCCUACUAGAGCUCUAGCGAAUGUGGUGCAAAUAUACAAGUUGUUUUAUAGGGAGAAUGCGAACAAGCUGAAAGACAUGUGGAUUAUUAGCUCAAACCCAAAAUACAUGGACAUUAGCAGAGCAUAGCUGCGUGAGAUGCUACGUGAUGGUGGUCAGGUGGAUAAUGUGCUGAUGACAUUGGCGAUGAGAAGGUACCAGUAGAUGGAUGUUGUUUUUGCUGCUGCCAAAGGGGAAGGAUGCUAGCGACAUUGGCUAGAGCCAGAUUUUGUGAACCAUGUGAGCAGGGAAGACAACAUUUCAAAAAUGAGGUACAUAAAGGACAUGUUUGUCAGACCUCAUAUCACGUAUGAGGUUAAUAAGAG